This 2128-nucleotide unclassified non-coding RNA is filed under the name Leishmania donovani. RNAcentral describes it as "gene:LdHU3.16.0860(CDS-product:Leucine_Rich_repea t_putative)". Lineage: Eukaryota; Euglenozoa; Kinetoplastea; Trypanosomatida; Trypanosomatidae. The record is from RNAcentral.
GCGGUGACAGCUUUCACAAAAGACUUCCUGCCCUCUGCUGCGGGGCGCUUGCUUCCCACACCGUCUUUGGCGACGGUGCAACGACGCUGUCGCUGCGCCAGCUCACCAUAAUACACACACACACACACAUCUAUCGCGUAGCAAGCCUUGGGCAACCCGGCGAACGGCGAGACGCUAGACGGCGCAUCACGCACCCACCAGCACACUCAUAGUCUGCGAGUCGUCGAAUUCGGCCGCUCCUCCUCCCCCGACUCUGCAUGCGUUCCCAGCGGCUGCCGCAACGCACACGCAAAUAAAAAAAAUGGAAUCACCGUCGUGCGCAUCCGCGCCGAUCGCAGUCGAUGCCCAAGACGUUGUGGUGCUGCCUGCGGUGGCGCAGGCGCGGACGUGGCUCUCUCUGUACGGCACUUGCUGCACAGAAGAAGAGGUGGAGAUGCAUCCGGUGGUGCUCUCUCGUGUCCUGCAGGCGGUGGAGCCGGUGCAAAGCCGCCCUCGGCUUUCAUCAGGGAGCGACUGCGCCCUCGCCACCACGACUACGAAACAUGCGUGCCGUAGCGGCGAGGGGGAUGCCGAGGCGGCGACCGCGAGGCCAUCGCUGACGGCGCCGCAUGAAGACGAUGGCAGUAAGAGGAGCAAAGGCGAGGCUGGACUGUCAAUCGAUUUUGGUGGUCUCUGGAUGCCCUUGUCGGAGUGGAUCGCGACCCUGCGAAGUUUGGUGGCUGCCGUGCCGCUGCACAGUCUAUCGCUGCGCGACACCGCUCUUGGCGACGCUGGGCUGCGCUGCCUUUGCGGACAAGUGUCCGCCGCUUCCGUAAAGCCAGCAGCCCUAGAGGCAGCUAGCAGAUGCGAAGGCGGUGGCUCUCAUCUACCGGGGUUGUCGACACUGGCCGUCCCGCCGUCGUACCCGCCCACCAUUCCUGGAUUGUGGGCAGCGAGCACGCUGCGGCUACUAGACCUCAGCGGCGCGGCGCUCACGGACGGCGGGCCUCUGGCGUCGCUGCUCGCAUCAUGCCCACAGCUGCACUCCCUCAACUUAUCGGACAACCGUUUGGGCUCACGUGACGCUGGACUUGCGCUGCUCUGCGCCGCGCUGCAGUUGCAUCCUUCGCUGGAGGUGCUGAACUUGCGUCGCAACUGCAUCAGCGGCAGCCGCAACGGGCCAGCGAUAGCCGCUCUUGCCGAGCUCAUUGUCGCACGGUCUGUAGAUGCACCGCGCGCUCUCUCGAGGGCGUGCGGUCGCGCAUCGGCGCUCUGUAGACAACAAACAUCAGAAGCCGCGACCGUGGCUGCACAGCCGCUGCGGCGACUCGACCUCUCCCACAACCUACUGGGCACCUACUUUCUUUUCUCAGACGCGAUGAUGACUCACCGCACGGAGGCGGGACGUUCGAAUGCGGCUCCAGAGUACGAUAUGGCAUCUUCGGCUUUCCGCCACGUCGGCUUCCACGAGGCUGUAGCGUCGUUCCCUCUUGUCACGGCACUUUACCUGAACAACACGCUGAUAGAGCUGAACUUGCGCAACAACGGCUUGCCGAUUGCCUUGCUGGAGUACGUGGAGGCGAAGCUGCACGUCAACCAGCGCACCACAGGCGGCGGCGUCGACUUCUCGCACACCGCGUCCGCUGAGAUCGUCGCAUCGAGCACUGUGCGACAGGUGCUCAUUCACCGGCUGCGCUGCACUCUUGAACACAUCCUUGCUGGGACGGCGAACGCAUCGGGGGUGGUGGGGGCCACACAUACUGAACCAGGGGACACUCCGCCAACCGAGGUCCCCGCAGCAAGCCAGUCCUCUGUACUUCCUGCAGCGGAGCGCCGAUGGACCACCGGCGAGGUGUCGGAGCUCGUGCAGCGCCUUGUCCGCAAUGUCGCAACUGACCUCUCCUUGUUCUGAACACGGUUCACCCUUCGAUGCCUACGAAGUGUGGGACAGCGAGGGGGCUCGCCCCUCGCACACACUCCAGUGCACACACCUGCACACGGAUAGAUAGAUGAAUAGCAAGGGCAUUCACGCAUGUCCGCCACCACCCUGCUUUCCGCUGCAGCGUAUCCCGUGUGCGCAGUCGAAGGAGGCGGACGACCGAGAAGUGACUGCAUCCUUCGCGCGCAUUGCUGCCUGCCCACGGAAGCU